GUUUAUCCGUUUAUGUCGUAAAGUAAACGUAAACUCGUAAACAAAACCUUGCGGUUAAUGUUUUGGCAAUGGGAGCUUGGGAUGAAGAAGUUGUGCUGUGUUUCUUUCAGUAAAGCAAGAUUUGCAUAGAAAGGUGAAAUAGUUUAUGAAUAAUUUUACGACAAGAAGCUGAAAAAUGAUACUACGACACACUUUGACAUGAGUAUCUGAAAUUCCAGUGAACCAGUCAGUUCACCAGCAACAGCUUCUAGUCCUGGCAAAAAGCCAGAAAACAAUGUACGAAGAAACAUCAACAAUUUAUCGUUUCAGGAGACCACAACAGAUCUGUGCAUCACACAGGGUACAGGUUGUAGAUAAUGUAGAAGAACUGGAAAAGAAAUAGAAAUUGGUUGCUCUAGUACUGCUACAUCAUUCACCUUAGGGGCCAUAUUAGGGAUUAAUUAUUCGGCAAUUUUUCCGCAAUUAGAUGGCGCGAGUGUCUUCGUUACUCAAGACGAAAUUGCGCCAUUUCUUAAAACCUUGAUUGGAAACCAUCAAACCACAUGUUGAAAACGUAUCGUUGGAUUGGAUACUUAAUACGGCGUACUUAUCUUUCUUGACCCCAUUUUUAUUCGUAUUAAUGGUAUUUAUCUGGUAACGGCCUAUAAUUUCUAAAUGGCAAUUUCAUCUGAUCAUGUGGCCUCAGCAGCUGAACAUUUUGCCAAAAUGUCUCUUUUUCUUGUACCAGCUUCACAUUUGUCAGAAACACUUCAGAACAAUCCAGGAAUAACAUGCUGGUGGAGUUUGAGCUUCUUUGUUGCUGCCCAACGUAAAUAUGGAUUUGAAGCAGCCAUCUGAUAAAGGGUAUUCCUCUUGCAACCUGUACUGUUGUGUGUUUCAUCACAUGAAGAAACACUUAGCUACAAUUGAAGUUUAGCGUUUAUGUUCGCGUAGUUGCUGUCCGAUGUGGCACGUUGUUGCAGCCUAUGCUGGUGAAAGAUCUUUCUACAUCAAGUUCAAUUGGCCGUUCCUUGAUGCUGGUGUCGUGUUACCGAAGUUGCAUCAUUAUCUUGUUAAAUUGUCAUCGUGACUAUUGCAGUUUACCGUUUAUAAGUUCAGAGGCACAAAAAAAAACAAAACAAAUAUGGGAUGUUUAUGUCAACAAAUAAUAAACAUGUUUCCGGGAUUGGGGAAAGGAAAGUGGAGGAUGUUGGAGGGGGAGGGAGGAUAUUUAAAGUUUGGA
RNAcentral lists this long non-coding RNA (1222 nucleotides) under Daphnia pulicaria. RNAcentral describes it as "uncharacterized LOC124314911, transcript variant X1". The record is from RNAcentral. Lineage: Eukaryota; Metazoa; Arthropoda; Branchiopoda; Diplostraca; Daphniidae.